Molecule: ribosomal RNA, 513 nt
Filed under: uncultured bacterium
Lineage: Bacteria
Description: partial 16S ribosomal RNA
Rfam family: Bacterial small subunit ribosomal RNA
Source: RNAcentral
GACGAACGCUGGCGGCAUGCCUAAUACAUGCAAGUCGAGCGAACAGAUGAAGUGCUUGCACUUCUGACGUUAGCGGCGAACGGGUGAGUAACACGUAAGGAAUCUACCUAUAAGCGGGGGAUAACAUUCGGAAACGGAUGCUAAUACCGCAUAAUAUCUUCUUCCGCAUGGAAGAAGAUUGAAAGACGGCUCUGCUGUCACUUAUAGUUGACCUUGCGGUGCAUUAGUUAGUUGGUGGGGUAACGGCCUACCAAGACGAUGAUGCAUAGCCGACCUGAGAGGGUGAUCGGCCACAUUGGGACUGAGACACGGCCCAAACUCCUACGGGAGGCAGCAGUAGGGAAUCUUCCGCAAUGGGCGAAAGCCUGACGGAGCAAUGCCGCGUGAGUGAAGAAGGCCUUCGGGUCGUAAAACUCUGUUAUAAGAGAAGAACAAAUUGUAGAGUAACUGCUACAGUCUUGACGGUAUCUUAUCAGAAAGCCACGGCUAACUACGUGCCAGCAGCCGCCGUAA